ACAUGCAUGGUUUGAAUGCUUGGUUUGCCCUCGCCCUUUGCGCCAUGGGCGCAACAACUAAGUCUUGGCUGGAAUACCUCACCUCGCGGCUUGCCGCUCCUCUGUAAUUGUGCUCUAUAUAUAUCAUGUGACUAGAAUCAAGGUUAGUGUUUUCUUUUGGUGCCCAUUUUCUACUUAUUUCCAGAUCUUUGUGUUUCGAUGCGAUCCCACAUGCUAAUACGAAGUUUCUCAUGCUACAUGGCUUUUCUGGGAGCAAAAUCUGAUACAGUCUGCACUUCCAUGCUUUGGGUAAGGCAUUAUUAAUCUUUUUCUGCCUUUUUAACAGAACUAAAAUUUUCAUCAUAUGAUCUCUUUUUUCCUGAUGGCUGAUGCUCGGAAAUAUAGCAUAUGACAAGCAGACAGGUAAAGAGGUUGAAGUUGGAUUAGCAGGGCAUGGUCCACUAGCCAAUUCUUUAUCUCUACUAGGUGGCGUCGAGUGACUUUGUUAAGCAGACAUUUGACCUUCGCAUUAUGAUGUUAAUUUUCAUAAAUGCAGAAAUAGGUUGAUCUGUUAAUUCGCACUGGAAUUUCGGUUAAUCCGUUCCUGGUCUCUUGCUAUAUUUGCAUAACGUUGCAGGCCGUAUUGUUCUUGAUGAUAAGGCCAUUCUCGAGGCGAUUGUACCAGCAGAUGAACGUAUUCCUGGGCGAGUUGUUAUGGCUUCAGCUGAUCUGGCUUGUGGGCUGGUGGUCAGGUAUUAAGGAUCUAAUUCUCGAUUCUUGCUUCGGUCUGAACUGUGCGAUUUAUGUUUCGUCAGAGGUUUCUGUACUAACCAUCGUUAAAUAAGGUGAGGUAUGUACUUUAGCAAACUAGGCAACACUCAGCUCUACAUUCCUGUUUUUUUUUGGGAAAAAUAAUAAUUAGCAAUACAGCUCCUAACUUGCAUAUGCUUCGUUUGUACAUUUGAGUUACUGAAACUGUGGGUCCUCACCUGAUGAUCAGGAAGUAUGGCGGUUGAGAUGCAAAUAAACAGACAUAAUCUGUAUAGUCUUACGCUUAGUUCGUAUAGUCGUAGGCUUAGUUUAUUUAUUUACUUCAAUGGCGCCAUUUGAAUUGGUUGACCGUAGUUAUCUGUUUCUGGAAUUAGCAUUAUUUCAUGAGUGAUGAAUGGUUGUGCCAUGAUUUCACAUGUCCACACUUCCACUUCAACUUGUGUGAUUUUAUUAUUGGGCAUUUAUGAAACUCAUUGUCAAUUCUGUUGUACAGGGUACCUGAGCUACUUAUGCUUUGCUAGACAAUGAGGGGGCAGUAGCAGUGCCAUUUGAUUCGAAGGACAAAGAGUUGAUUACAAAGGGGUAGCAUUCAGGAUAUAUACACACAAGAGUAUAAAACCAAAUUAUAUGAUGUAAUUGACCACUAUUUCUGUUAACUUCUCCUGUACACAAUGUUCACAAGUUCAUGUAUUAAGUACAUUUUAUU
Long non-coding RNA from Triticum dicoccoides, 1456 nucleotides. RefSeq lists it as uncharacterized. The record is from RefSeq and is a predicted model, not a curated record. The transcript is spliced from 4 exons. Lineage: Eukaryota; Viridiplantae; Streptophyta; Magnoliopsida; Poales; Poaceae.